GUACACGCUGUGACUAGCAUAUCAAUAAGCGGAGGAAAAGAAACUAACAAGGAUUCCCCUAGUAACGGCGAGUGAAGCGGGAAGAGCUCAAAUUUGAAAUCUUAAAGGGUUUCCCUUUACGAAUUGUAGUUUAAAGAAGUGUUUUCUGUUGAGGUUUUGGUAAAAGUUCUUUGGAAUAGGACAUCAUAGAGGGUGAGAAUCCCGUAUUUGACCUUUACUUUCAACUUUGUGAUACACUUUCAAAGAGUCGGAUUGUUUGGGAAUGCAGUCCAAAAUGGGUGGUAAAUUUCAUCUAAAGCUAAAUAUUGGCGAGAGACCGAUAGCGAACAAGUACCGUGAGGGAAAGAUGAAAAGAACUUUGAAAAGAGAGUUAAACAGUACGUGAAAUUGUCAAAAGGGAAGCGUUUGACACCAGUGUUGUUUUUCUGAAAAUCAAUUAAAGAACUGUUUAUGCUAAGUUGUUUAGACUUUAUCAGCUAACUGUUUAGUUUUGAGCUUUUCUUUAAUGCACUUUUCAGUUAACAAGUCAACAUCAAUUUCUUUUGCUGUAAAAAAGCCUGAGGAAGGUGGCUUGAGAUUCGUCUUAAGUGUUUAUAGCCUCUUGCCUAUGCAGUCGGAGAGAUUGAGGUCUGCAGCGUAGAUCCUUCGGGGCUAAAUGCAUUUGUGCUAAGUUAUAGCAUUUUAUAGACAACUUGUUGACUAUGAUUUGUCUUGUAGCUUACUCGCUUAUGUUAUUUUACCUACGCUUAGGAUGUUGACGCGCGUGUGUGCGUG
Molecule: ribosomal RNA, 774 nt
Filed under: uncultured Neocallimastigales
Lineage: Eukaryota; Fungi; Neocallimastigomycota; Neocallimastigomycetes; Neocallimastigales
Description: partial large subunit ribosomal RNA
Rfam family: Eukaryotic large subunit ribosomal RNA
Source: RNAcentral